AGAUUAUUAUCUAGCAGUAACAGCCAUUUAAAGAAGUAACUACCAGAAGAAACAAAUAACUAAAAGGAUUGUCUGUGGAGAUGUGAAUGGGGACAGAAGAAAUUCAUUAAGACCCUUUACUUUCUUUAAAGUGCAAGUAUUUUGAUAUCUAACCGGAUGUCUCAAUUAACAGAAGAGUCACGUCUAGGAAGGAUGUUUGAAAUGUUACAUUAGGAGGCUGACAGCUGUUCCUUCCUGAGGUUUGGAGGUGAGAAUUAUUGACAUAACCCCAGUAUCAUGGAGCACUCCUCUCUGCAAGUGUAAAGUGCUGUGUGUUGUUUGAAGAACACUGCAUGUGCUAUCUUCCUCAGUACUAUUCUGAUGCUUAUUUCUGAAGAAUGAAUGAGGGUGUAUUUCCUGUGUGCCUUGUAGGGGUUUCUGUUUCAUCUUCCUUCUCAUUGACUGGAAUAUUAGACUAUGACCUCCUGUUCUUGCCUUUUUAGCACAUCCCGCAUUUUCUCAGAUGUUCUCUUUUUGCCCUUUCGUGAUGACCUGCCUAAGACUUGCAUACAGUUUGGAAUGGAAUGCCUGGGCUCAAAGGCUACAGCCCACAGGUCAGCAUCUGACAUUUUCAUGCACACCGUGUACAGCUCCCUGUGUGGUGGAAUGUGUCAUGUCAGAACAUGAAGAUCUGUGACAAGGCCUGGCAAUGGCUUUGACAGAGAAACUUCUCAGAAAAACUUGCCUGUCUUUUUCUAAUGAGGAAAUCCCAAAAAGAGAAGCUGAAACUUUCCUGUUGUAGAAGGGUAAUAAGUAAGCUGUGGAGAAAAUUGGACAAAUGCAGAAAUCUAUAUAAAGCAAGUGUGACUUUUUCCCGGGAGAAGAUCUUGCCAGAAAACAUGGUGGUCGUAUCAUAUCUGAUUGACUGGUGCAAAACAUGGACUAGGUAAGAAUGGGUACCAGGAAUUUCCUAGAGGACUUAUGGUGGGGCUACAGCUUGACUGCUAAGUCUCCCCGCUGGUUCCUGCUUAUGUGCUUGUAAGGGUCACUCGCAGGGAGAGCCUGGGGCAUGCACAGCUUGUUUUCCUCUCCUCCCUUGCUCAUGACUAUGUUUAGCUCCCAAGCAGGAAGAGGCUGAAUAGCUGUAAGAAAAUCUAAGAGAUUUGUUUGUAUGUCCCUGCCAUCAGAGGAUGGAGUCUUAGAUAAUGGGACUACAAAACGACAUAAUUAAUUUUCCAUCAACUUUUUCCAAGGACUUUCAAAUUUAUUUUAUGUCCUAAAUUUAUUCACCUUCACUGCCAUUCUGUUUUCAGAUUUUCUGUCCAAUCAUGGUACAGUAGCAAAAGUGCCAAACUUGGACUCAAUAAACUAGUUUUAUAUGAUUUGGGGCAUGUCAUUUUUAUCAGUCGUGAUAUUUUAAUGGAUAAAAUGAGAAUCAUGAAACACACGCCUAUGCUAUGAGCACCGAGUGGGUAUGAUUAUGAAAGCAUUUUGUACAUUGUAAAGGGUUAAACAUAUGUUGGUUAUUUAUUUGUUUUAUUUUGACUUGAGUGAAGAAGGUUUAUUCUGGAUUAUUUAUUAAAUGCUAGGGGAGAUGUAGAAAUGAAAGUACCAAAAACAAUCAAUGCCCCAAGUUUCUUUAAUUGUUGGAAGGGCAGACUAUAUCUUUAGGAAACUAUCCUAUAUACUUUUAUGUGCAUAUAUAUCACCUGGAGGAUUUUCUUAAAAUGCAGAUUUUGAUUCAGUAAAUUUGGUGGAGUCUGAGAGACUGCAUUUCUAAAAGCUCCCAGGUGAAGUCUGUAGAGCCAGUCCAUACUCUACAUUGAGUUGCAAUGGAUGAAAGAGAAUGAGGUAAAGCGGAAAGGUAAUACAGGUGAAAAGAGUGAUCAAGACUGAGCUUUCCUGUCGGUUGUCCCUUUAUCUUGAAACCAUACUGGUGAAAUGACUACAUAUAGAAUAACAGUUGUUAAGUAAUCUUCCUGCUGAUAUUGUAUCUUGAUAUAGUUUGUUGUUCUUAAGCGAGUGCCAUUCUUGGGGAGUAAAUCUAGAGCAAGAGAUAGAUAGCACUAAUUGUGGGCUUGGAACAUGACAGCCCUGCCCAUGAUUUGCUGUAAACAUGGUAGGAAACUAGGGAAAUUCGGUUUGUAAAAGAAGUGUCUGUAUUCUGCCAACUGAGGAGUGAUCUGACAAUGAUAAAAUCAUUAGCCUCUAUGACCUUAGCUGUAUUUAAAGAGUAUUCUCUUGGGACACCUAAUAUAAUAUGUCUUGAUUGGACAUUGUGAACUAGCAUUCUUAUUCACAUUUAGAACCAAAUGACUUCCUUCUGGCAUUUUUACAGUGAUUUGGUAGCCUGCCAUGAUAUUAUGCAUUGUUCAGAAUAAUUUUCCAUGUUGCUGAGGUUCAUUUCCCUGAUUUAUAGCUAUUUGUAAAAGUUGGCUCUCAAAUGUCAAGAAGAAAAUAACUUUAUAAUAAAUUACUCCAAACGAAGAGGAGAUGCUGAAAUUCUUGAAAUUCUGCUGUAAUUCUGUAAAGGUAUAGGGUUAUAAUACACAGCUCUUGGUGACUCAAUUCUAAUGGGCAACUGUUACACUUUAAUUUUUAUAGAUACAGUAGUGUCUCGGCUUUUUGUUAGCUACCAAAAUAACCACAUCUGAAAAUGUGCUGCUGUGGUUUGUAACAAAGCUACACAGGCAUAAACUUUGUUGAGGCACCAUUCUCUAAGAUUUGCUGCUUACUGAAUCACCCCUCUUGGAUUGGCAGCAUCUUGAUUAAAAUGAUCAAUAGGGGAACAGAUAGUGAAAUAUCUACUAAUAAUAUUAACUGAUGAGAUCCUUUAGCUCAAUAUUUUGAGCUCACUUUGUUGAGUGUAUCUCACCUACACAAUGAGAAUUCUACCCUAGUGUUAUGUUUAGUUUAUUGUAGAGUUUUAAAAAGCAUUACUAUGGAGAAUAUAAGAAAACAAAAAUACUCAAUAGUUUGGUUCUAUUAUUAAUUUCCUGUAUCCUUUAAAAGGAAUUCUUGAGGCUCUUAGCUGAGUGUAGCUGAGGUCUGUGAAAUGAUGCAGUCUAUAUCCAAGUUGGUAGUUGUUGCUGGCGUGCAAAUCUGUUUCACAUUCAACCUUAGCCAUUAUUGCUCUGUAAUGAUCCCAUCUAUGUACUGGGAAUUUUAACAGUUAUAGUGAAUUCUUAGUUUCUCAGUUUCUAAUUGCUCAAAAGUCUAAUACUGAGUCUUCACCAAAUAUAUUUCUCUAGGUUUAGUUUUCUGCACUGAACUGAAGACUGUCUUAUGCCUCCAAAAUGCACUGCAGAGUGUCUGCCAACAAUUGUUCACUAGCUGUGAAUGUUUGUUCCUUUUCAAUGCUUCAUCUAAUUCCAGGUGCCAGUGACUUUGCUACCACUCUAAAUGUGGUUAAAAAGAACAACUUUCAAAUUGAUUGUAAGUGGAAAUAAUAGGUCUUUAUAAUUUGUCUAUAAUAUAAAGGACUCUAGAUAAAACCGUUAAAUCUCUCCCAUGACUUACGUAUAAAGUGCUGCUUUCAUUUCACAAGGAAAUUAUUGAUUUCAAUUAGUUCUCUUUAUACUAGAAAUCAUCUGGUAUUAAUUUAAAAAUUUUUGAGAUGUCUGUGGAAUAAGCAAAUGAGACAACAAAAAGCUAUGUUUUAAAAAAUAAAACUUUCUGAUAUAUACAAAAUUAAUAUUCUUUUGGGGAAAAUUCAAAAUAUAGAAAAUUAUUGCUUAAGUCCCUGCAAAAUUCUAUCACCCAGAGAUAAACAUAGUUAACAUUUCUUUUUGUGAGCAUUCUCUAGAGAUAAUGCUUUUUUUCAUAUUCUUGGGCAAGUUAUUCAGUCUUUCACUGUGUAAGCAUAUUUUUCCUCUUCUAUAAAAUGGGAAUAAAAAUGAUACUUGUCACCUAGGGUUGGAGAUUUAAUGAGUUAAUAUGUAUAAAAUGUGUAACUUAGUACCUGAAAAUAGUUAAUAAAGAUUUACUGACAAGGCAUGGUGGCUCAUACCUGUAAUCCCAACCAACAUAUUGG
RNAcentral lists this long non-coding RNA (4012 nucleotides) under Homo sapiens (human). Its description in RNAcentral is "HSALNT0139442". Lineage: Eukaryota; Metazoa; Chordata; Mammalia; Primates; Hominidae. The record is from RNAcentral.